RNAcentral lists this long non-coding RNA (466 nucleotides) under Elaeis guineensis (African oil palm). Its description in RNAcentral is "long non-coding RNA (EGUI_LNC012254)". The record is from RNAcentral. Lineage: Eukaryota; Viridiplantae; Streptophyta; Magnoliopsida; Arecales; Arecaceae.
GACCAAUCAAACUUUGAUAAGCAUCCUAGAUCCCCACCAAUAAAUCUCCUCCCAUCCUCCUCAAUGAAACCCCCAAAUCUACAGCCAAUCGUUGGUGAGGCCAUGCGAUUUCUAUCAUUCUCCAUCGUGUGUUCCUCAGAGAGUGACCACCGAUUUCUCAUCAGAGAUGAGGUAAGGACCUUUUCUUUUCUUUCCAUCUCUCUUUUCCGAACCCCACUAGGAGUUUGACAGUCAAAGUUAGUCUCCGAUCAUCGGAUUUCAUGGGACACUAAACCUUCCCUAUUUUUCCUUUGAUUUUCCUUCCAUCGGAUCGGCCGCCGUUAUUGAAGAUGGCCUUGCUCUGGUCAUCGAGGGUCAGAACCAUCCCAGCGGUAGCCACCCGAGGUGCUGUCGGAGAAAGCCGUGGCCGUGGAAGGUGGGUCAGCUUGAGAUCCUCUCUUCCCCUGUUUCAACGAAGAAGAAGAGA